Chenopodium quinoa (quinoa) is the source of this 845-nucleotide long non-coding RNA. RefSeq lists it as uncharacterized. NCBI's taxonomy places the organism in Eukaryota, Viridiplantae, Streptophyta, Magnoliopsida, Caryophyllales, Amaranthaceae. The record is from RefSeq and is a predicted model, not a curated record. The transcript has 2 exons.
UCAAUACCAAUUAAAUAAUACAUUUUCAUAAAAUUUCAAUAGAGAAAAUAUGCUGUAAGAAAUUUUAAUAUUGUUUUCGAUUUUUAAUUUAUUCGUUUGCAUUCACAAAUGAAUUCCCUUAUUUCUAUUUUUUUAUUUUUUUAAUAUGAAACCAAAUGACUUCCCUUCUUUCUGUAAAAGUUUUAUUAACAGUCAACUUGAGUAAAUAAAAAACUACCCCAGUUUAACGACCCCCCAAAUGAUCCGUGCUCUUGCUGUAUUUUCCCCUUCUUUCUCUCUCAUUUUCCAUUGAAGCGCACCUAUCGUUCUCCAUUGAAGCAGUUUCUAAGGUAAAAUUUUAAUUUCUCUUUUUCAUUAUCCAGUUUCAAUUUCUCUAGGCUUUUAUAUAUCCUAAAUUUAAUUCACAUUACACACAAAUUGAGGGUUCUCCUAAGCUCCACGACAUCCUCCAUUUCUCGGCUUUCGAUUCAUCAUCCUCCAUCGUCGUCUACAAGUCCUGGAUUCAAUUUGUGCGAUUUAUAAGACACUUGUUUCAGUUGUAAGUAGUGCGAGUAAAAAGUAUUUUCUUGGGACUCGCAGUGCUCCUCAUGAGAGGUGGAAGAAAGAAUGUUGUGGAUAUGCUAGAAUCGUUGCUAAAAUUGCUAGAAUCGUUGCUAAAAUUGGGUGUUGCUGCUCUCUGUUGAACACACUGCUACUGAUUCUGCUUUGCUGAUUGUUGCUGCUCCAAUUUAGUGUACUCUAAUUAAUUAAUUAAUUAAUUAAUUAAUUAUUCUUUUUCAGUUUUUGUUUGGAUGAACAUUGUAAAUUUACAAGUUAUUAAUGAAAAUAUCUAAGUUUAAUGUGUA